GCUGCAAAAUCAUUUCAAAUUAUACCUGAAAGACUAAAACAGCUUCCCCAACUUUGCAAAAUCCAAGUUCCUGUUCCUCUUGACCCCACUGUGGAUUGCAACACUGUGCCAUGAUGCUCUAUGGAGUUGGAGAUGUGAAAUAAACAAUGGGGAAGCAAGCACGCAA
Quercus lobata is the source of this 166-nucleotide long non-coding RNA. RefSeq lists it as uncharacterized. NCBI's taxonomy places the organism in Eukaryota, Viridiplantae, Streptophyta, Magnoliopsida, Fagales, Fagaceae. The record is from RefSeq and is a predicted model, not a curated record. The transcript is spliced from 2 exons.